GAUGAACGCUGGCGGCGUGCCUAAUACAUGCAAGUCGAGCGAACAGACGAGGAGCUUGCUCCUCUGACGUUAGCGGCGGACGGGUGAGUAACACGUGGAUAACCUACCUAUAAGACUGGGAUAACUUCGGGAAACCGGAGCUAAUACCGGAUAAUAUAUUGAACCGCAUGGUUCAAUAGUGAAAGACGGUUUUGCUGUCACUUAUAGAUGGAUCCGCGCCGCAUUAGCUAGUUGGUCAGGUAACGGCUUACCAAGGCGACGAUGCGUAGCCGACCUGUGAGGGUGAUCGGCCACCUUGGAACUUGACCACGGUCCAGACUCCUACGGGAGGCAGCAGUAGGGAAUCUUCCGCAAUGGGCGAAAGCCUGACGGAGCAACGCCGCGUGAGUGAUGAAGGUCUUCGGAUCGUAAAACUCUGUUAUUAGGGAAGAACAAAUGUGUAAGUAACUAUGCACGUCUUGACGGUACCUAAUCAGAAAGCCACGGCUAACUACGUG
RNAcentral lists this ribosomal RNA (497 nucleotides) under uncultured bacterium. RNAcentral's name for it is "partial 16S ribosomal RNA". It matches the Rfam family "Bacterial small subunit ribosomal RNA", at positions 28 to 507 of the family's 1533-position model. The record is from RNAcentral.